UACGGGGGGAGCAAGCGUUGUUCGGAUUUACUGGGCGUAAAGGGCGGGUAGGCGGCCACCGCAAGUCAGUUGUGAAAUCUCCGGGCUUAACCCGGAAAGGUCAACUGAUACUGCGGGGCUAGAGUGCAGAAGGGGCAACUGGAAUUCUCGGUGUAGCGGUGAAAUGCGUAGAUAUCGAGAGGAACACCUGCGGCGAAGGCGGGUUGCUGGGCUGACACUGACGCUGAACUGCGAAAGCUAGGGGAGCGAGCGGG
This 254-nucleotide ribosomal RNA is filed under the name uncultured bacterium. RNAcentral's name for it is "partial 16S ribosomal RNA". It matches the Rfam family "Bacterial small subunit ribosomal RNA", at positions 524 to 776 of the family's 1533-position model. The record is from RNAcentral.